CGCUGAACUUAAGCAUAUCAAUAAGCGGAGGAAAAGAAACUAACAAGGAUUCCCCUAGUAACUGCGAGUGAAGCGGGAAAAGCUCAAAUUUAAAAUCUGACGGUUACGCCGUCCGAGUUGUAAUCUGGAGAAGCGUUUUCUGUGUUGGCCCGUGCAUAAAUCUCUUGGAACAGAGUGUCAUAGAGGGUGAGAAUCCCGUCUUUGGCACGGACUACCAAUGCUAUACGAUACGCUCUCAAAGAGUCGAGUUGUUUGGGAAUGCAGCUCAAAAUGGGUGGUAAAUUCCAUCUAAAGCUAAAUAUUGGCGAGAGACCGAUAGCGAACAAGUACCGUGAGGGAAAGAUGAAAAGCACUUUGGAAAGAGAGUUAAACAGUACGUGAAAUUGUUGAAAGGGAAACGCUUGAAGUCAGUCGCGUCGCUCGGGACUCAGCCUUGCUUCUGCAUGGUGUACUUCCCUUGUGACGGGUCAACAUCGAUUUCGUCCGGUGGACAAAGGCGGAGGGAAGGUGGCACCUUUGUGUGUGUUAUAGCCCUUCGUCGUAUACGCUGGCUGGGAUCGAGGACCGCAGCACGCCUUUUUGGCCGGGGUUCGCCCACGUAACGUGCUUAGGAUGUUGGCAUAAUGGCUUUAAGCGACCNGUCUUGAAACACGGACCAAGGAGUCUAACAUGCCUGCGAGUGUUAGGGUGGUAAACCCUUGCGCGUAAUGAAAGUGAAAGUUGGGACCCCUGUCGUGGGGGGCACCGACGCCCGGCCCAGAGCUCUUGUGACGGUGCUGCGGUAGAGCAUGUAUGUUGGGACCCGAAAGAUGGUGAACUAUGCCUGAAUAGGGCGAAGCCAGAGGAAACUCUGGUGGAGGCUCGUAGCGAUUCUGACGUGCAAAUCGAUCGUCAAAUUUGGGUAUAGGGGCGAAAGACUAAUCGAACCAUCUAGUAGCUG
Molecule: ribosomal RNA, 940 nt
Filed under: Peniophorella pallida
Lineage: Eukaryota; Fungi; Basidiomycota; Agaricomycetes; Hymenochaetales
Description: partial large subunit ribosomal RNA
Rfam family: Eukaryotic large subunit ribosomal RNA
Source: RNAcentral